AACUUUUAAACCUUUGUCGAUUGACUCACGUUGCCUCGGCGGGUUCGCCCGCCAGAGGAUACAUCAAAACUCCUGUUUUAACGGUGUUGUGUGAGCUACAAGCAACGAAUUAAAACUUUCAACAACGGAUCUCUUGGUUCUGGCAUCGAUGAAGAACGCAGCGAAAUGCGAUAAGUAGUGUGAAUUGCAGAAUUCAGUGAAUCAUCGAAUCUUUGAACGCACAUUGCGCCCCUUGGUAUCCCGAGGGGCAUGCCUGUUCGAGCGUCAUUUCACCACUCAAGCCUGGCUUGGUGUUGGGCGACGUCCCCUUUGGGGACGCGCCUCGAAACGCUCGGCGGCGUGGCACCGGCUUUAAGCGUAGCAGAAUCUUUCGCUUUGAAAGUCGGGGCCCCGUCUGCCGGAAGACCUACUCGCAAGGUUGACCUCGGAUCAGGCAGGGAUACCCGCUGAACUUAAGCAUAUCAAUAAGCGGAGGA
RNAcentral lists this ribosomal RNA (476 nucleotides) under uncultured Cenococcum. Its description in RNAcentral is "eukaryotic LSU rRNA". The stretch from base 114 to 267 matches the Rfam family "5.8S ribosomal RNA". The record is from RNAcentral. Lineage: Eukaryota; Fungi; Ascomycota; Dothideomycetes; Gloniales; Gloniaceae.